Molecule: ribosomal RNA, 301 nt
Filed under: uncultured bacterium
Lineage: Bacteria
Description: partial 16S ribosomal RNA
Rfam family: Bacterial small subunit ribosomal RNA
Source: RNAcentral
CAGUCGCCACGGGAAUACGUAGGGUGCAAGCGUUAAUCGGAAUUACUGGGCGUAAAGCGUGCGCAGGCGGUUUUGUAAGUCUGUCGUGAAAUCCCCGGGCUCAACCUGGGAAUGGCGAUGGAGACUGCAAGACUAGAAUCUGGCAGAGGGGGGUAGAAUUCCACGUGUAGCAGUGAAAUGCGUAGAUAUGUGGAGGAACACCGAUGGCGAAGGCAGCCCCCUGGGCUAAGAUUGACGCUCAUGCACGAAAGCGUGGGAAGCAAACAGGAUUAGAUACCCCAGUAGUCCCUGUCUCUUAUAC